UACGUAGGGGCUAGCGUUAUCCGGAAUUACUGGGCGUAAAGGGUGCGUAGGUGGUUUCUUAAGUCAGAGGUGAAAGGCUACGGCUCAACCGUAGUAAGCCUUUGAAACUGGGAAACUUGAGUGCAGGAGAGGGGAGUGGAAUUCCUAGUGUAGCGGUGAAAUGCGCAGAGAUCAGGAGGAACACCGGUGGCGAAGGCGACUUUCUGGCUGACAACUGACGCUGAGGCGCGAAAGCGUGGGGAGCAAACAGGAUUAGAUACCCGUGUAGUCCCUGAG
RNAcentral lists this ribosomal RNA (276 nucleotides) under uncultured prokaryote. RNAcentral describes it as "partial 16S ribosomal RNA". It matches the Rfam family "Bacterial small subunit ribosomal RNA", at positions 524 to 801 of the family's 1533-position model. The record is from RNAcentral.